CGCUGGCGGCAGGCCUAACACAUGCAAGUCGAACGGUAACAGGAAGAAGCUUGCUUCUUUGCUGACGAGUGGCGGACGGGUGAGUAAUGUCUGGGAAACUGCCUGAUGGAGGGGGAUAACUACUGGAAACGGUAGCUAAUACCGCAUAACGUCGCAAGACCAAAGAGGGGGACCUUCGGGCCUCUUGCCAUCGGAUGUGCCCAGAUGGGAUUAGCUAGUAGGUGGGGUAACGGCUCACCUAGGCGACGAUCCCUAGCUGGUCUGAGAGGAUGACCAGCCACACUGGAACUGAGACACGGUCCAGACUCCUACGGGAGGCAGCAGUGGGGAAUAUUGCACAAUGGGCGCAAGCCUGAUGCAGCCAUGCCGCGUGUAUGAAGAAGGCCUUCGGGUUGUAAAGUACUUUCAGCGGGGAGGAAGGGAGUAAAGUUAAUACCUUUGCUCAUUGACGUUACCCGCAGAAGAAGCACCGGCUAACUCCGUGCCAGCAGCCGCGGUAAUACGGAGGGUGCAAGCGUUAAUCGGAAUUACUGGGCGUAAAGCGCACGCAGGCGGUUUGUUAAGUCAGAUGUGAAAUCCCCGGGCUCAACCUGGGAACUGCAU
This 603-nucleotide ribosomal RNA is filed under the name uncultured bacterium. RNAcentral's name for it is "bacterial SSU rRNA". It matches the Rfam family "Bacterial small subunit ribosomal RNA", at positions 34 to 626 of the family's 1533-position model. The record is from RNAcentral.